ACAGAGGUCUCGAGCGUUAGGCGGAAUCACUGGGCUUAAAGCGUGUGUAGGCGGCGGGCUAAGUACCUUGUGAAAUCCCACGGCUUAACUGUGGAACUGCUGGGUAUACUGGUUCGCUUGAGCGGUCUAGGGGCGAGCGGAACAAAUGGUGGAGCGGUGAAAUGCGUAGAUAUCAUUUGGAACGCCAACGGUGAAAACAGCUCGCUGGGGACCUGCUGACGCUGAGACACGAAAGCCAGGGGAGCGAACGGGA
Molecule: ribosomal RNA, 253 nt
Filed under: uncultured prokaryote
Description: partial 16S ribosomal RNA
Rfam family: Bacterial small subunit ribosomal RNA
Source: RNAcentral